GCCGGGAUAGCUCAGUGGUAGAGCAGCUGUUUUGUAAACAGCAGGCCGUGGGUUCAAUCCCCUCUCCCGGCUCAA
RNAcentral lists this transfer RNA (75 nucleotides) under Candidatus Collierbacteria bacterium CG09_land_8_20_14_0_10_46_12. RNAcentral describes it as "tRNA-Thr". It matches the Rfam family "tRNA". Rfam says of the family: Transfer RNA (tRNA) molecules are approximately 80 nucleotides in length. Their secondary structure includes four short double-helical elements and three loops (D, anti-codon, and T loops). Lineage: Bacteria; Candidatus Collieribacteriota. The record is from RNAcentral.